RNAcentral lists this ribosomal RNA (468 nucleotides) under uncultured bacterium. RNAcentral describes it as "partial 16S ribosomal RNA". It matches the Rfam family "Bacterial small subunit ribosomal RNA", at positions 28 to 507 of the family's 1533-position model. The record is from RNAcentral.
GACGAACGCUGGCGGCGUGCUUAACACAUGCAAGUCGAACGGCAAGGCCCUGCUUUUUUGGUGUUCUCGAGUGGCGAUCGGGGGAGUAACACGUGUGUAACCUGCCCUUGACUUUGGGGUAACUUCAGGAAACUGGGGCUAAUACCGUAUAGGAGCUCCUGUUGCGGGGUGGGGGUUGGAAAUUUUAGGCUGGUGGGGAUGGACUCGCGGCUUAUCAGCUUGUUGGUGGGGGAGUGGCUUACCAAGGCUUGGACCGGUAGCCGGCCUGAGAGGGUGACCGGCCACAUUACGACUGCGAUAGGGAGCAGACUCGUAUGGGAGGCAGCAGUCGCGAAUCUUGUCCAAUGGGACGGAGUGUGUGGAAGCAGCGCCGCGUGCGGGAUGACGGUCUUUGGGGUGAAAAAAGCUUUCGCCUGUGACGAAGCGGGAGUGACGGUAAUGGAUAAAGAAGCACCGGCUAACUACGUG